Molecule: long non-coding RNA, 446 nt
Filed under: Bos taurus (domestic cattle)
Lineage: Eukaryota; Metazoa; Chordata; Mammalia; Artiodactyla; Bovidae
Description: long non-coding RNA NONBTAT023382
Source: RNAcentral
CAAACAAACAAAAAUCCUGUUAGAAAAAGCAGGGUAUUUCCUCUAGUAAUAAGGGGCGGAGGGGAGUUAAGUAAAGUAUUUUAAAACUUAUAUACGAGGUACCAAUUCACGUUUUGAAAUAUUGUCAGGUUUCUCUCCUCUCUUCAAGAAUAACUCUUUCUGGUCCAUUUUUCACUCAGUGAAAGGUUCUAGAGAGCCGACUAUGCCCUGUAGCAGUCUACUCUAUGCAUGGACAAAAACAGACGUGGGCUGCUGGCUAUUUUACACUGGGUUCCUUCAGUAUUGCAAUUUCUUCUGCUCUAAUUAUCAGCCUUUACCCUAGAAUCUCUAACAGGGUCAGAGGAACCCCCAGCCCCCAAGGCGAGGCAGAAUAAUACAGUAACCAAAGCACAGACCUGGAAAAAAGUUCAUGUCUGUGUUACUCUACAUGAUGACCUCACAGGGAA